RNAcentral lists this ribosomal RNA (407 nucleotides) under Verrucomicrobiota bacterium. Its description in RNAcentral is "Verrucomicrobia bacterium partial 16S ribosomal RNA". It matches the Rfam family "Bacterial small subunit ribosomal RNA", at positions 355 to 776 of the family's 1533-position model. Lineage: Bacteria; Pseudomonadati; Verrucomicrobiota. The record is from RNAcentral.
UGGGGAAUAUUGGACAAUGGAGGAAACUCUGAUCCAGCAAUUCUGUGUGUGUGAAGAAGGUUUUAGGACUGUAAAACACUUUUAGUAGGGAAGAAAAAAAUGACGGUACCUACAGAAGAAGCAACGGCUAAAUACGUGCCAGCAGCCGCGGUAAUACGUAUGUUGCGAGCGUUAUCCGGAAUUAUUGGGCUUAAAGGGCAUCUAGGCGGUAAGACAAGUUGAAGGUGAAAACCUGUGGCUCAACCAUAGGCUUGCCUACAAAACUGUUGAACUAGAUUACUGGAAAGGUGGGUGGAACUACACGAGUAGAGGUGAAAUUCGUAGAUAUGUGUAGGAAUGCCGAUGAUGAAGAUAACUCACUGGACAGAAACUGACGCUGAAGUGCGAAAGCUAGGGGAGCAAACAGG